Aplosporella prunicola CBS 121167 is the source of this 79-nucleotide non-coding RNA. The record is from the annotation of a RefSeq genome assembly. Lineage: Eukaryota; Fungi; Ascomycota; Dothideomycetes; Botryosphaeriales; Aplosporellaceae.
AAUCAGGCUCAGUGGUAGAGCGCCCGCUUUGCACUAUAACGAAUGCGGGAGGUCUAGGGUUCGAUCCCCUACCUGUCCA